This 3519-nucleotide long non-coding RNA is filed under the name Oncorhynchus mykiss (rainbow trout). RNAcentral describes it as "lncRNA (ENSOMYG00000060167.1)". The record is from RNAcentral. Lineage: Eukaryota; Metazoa; Chordata; Actinopteri; Salmoniformes; Salmonidae.
CCCAACGUAAAGUCAAUAGUAGUACAACGAUAUAUAAGGGAACAGGUUUCAGUUCCUCGACCCCCCUCAGUGAAACCGUCAUCAGUGAAAGGUUGUCCGUUUCUAUCUCCUUACCAAGUUGAGCCUCUCUUUCUGCUCUGGUAUAAAGUGACUUUGUACUACGUUUUGUGUGAAGUGUGUGAUUCAUUGACUUUAAGAUUACGGACCAAAGGGCACCCUAUUCCCUAUUUAGUGCACUACUUUUGACCAGGUAGUGAGUGACCUAUGUAGGGAAUAGUGUGCCAUUUGGGACCCGGAAAUAAAAACAGAAGAUCAAUAUUUCAGAACAAAAUAUGCAUCUCUAAAAUGUGUUUUUUUAUUUGAUUUUGAAUGUUAUUAUUUAGUCUAUUAUUCAUUAUCAUCACAGGCUUUAAGUUGGGGGUUUUCUUGAUCCAAUACCGUUGUGAUUGUGUCUGUUUUGGGGGAGGUUUUCUAUUCUCUUUUAAAGGGUGUGUAUGUGAUUUUGAAAAGAUUGAAACAUGUAAUAGCAGAUUCCCUCAGAGCGGUUUCACAACACUCUGGGGGGUCUGUUUUAGAGCUUCGUGUAUCAGGGCUCGAUUCAAUCCAUUGUUGAAGUUCAGCGUUAAAACACGAUUUGACAUUUUAAAAGCAAUCGUCUCGCUGAGACUGCGUUCGUGGUAAACGCUGCGUAAGUCGGCUCAAUGGGAGGUGAGCUUCGGCGGUACGGAUUGAAUUGAGUCCUUUUUAGUUAUUCAUAUGUAUCAGAUCUACUUUCUAGACGUGUAUCUACGCCACGGUGCACAGCUGUGCUGAGGCUGAGAGCCUUCUUUCUCUCUCCACUUCAGAUUCAUCCGCCACACACCUGCUCAGUCGUACUGCUUCUGUACCUGUCGCUCCAGUUUAAACACUAACAGACAUGUAUUCAUUAUGACGAUAUACAGGCAGUGCAUCUAAGACCUUGAUCUCAGUUCCACUGGAGAACAGGGGUCCCUCCUAGCUUGGUUGCCAGGUCCACUAUGUGCUUUAGUAAAAUAAUGCCAUGACGUUGAUAGUCGGAAGCCUGUACAGAUCUGGCAACUAGUCGAGACCAGACAGUGGAGUCGGACCCUUAAACCCUCCAUAUAACUCUGUUGUAGAGGAGUGUGUUUGAUCAUCGGAGUUAAACAUAAUCAGGGAGGCAGUUUCCACUCGACUCUUUUAGGAGGAAGGAGUUCUUCUCCCUUUUUCUGUCCUUCUCUUGGGUUUGGGUCCUUGAUAGCCUGGUCCCAGAUGUGUUUGUGCUGUCUUGCCCAACUCAUUGUCAGACUGUGACCGUCAAGAGUUGGCUCGACGGCACAAAGAGAUCUGAGACCAGGCUAGGAGGUCCCUUAAUGCUCUGUGUUGAGACGAUAUAGAUGUCUUCUCAAUCUUCAGACCCAGAAUUACAAGGCCUUUUGUUUCAUUGUGACAUUUCAACAGAAAAAAACAUCAAAGGAAAACAGAUGUUUGUUGUUUUUUAAUUAUUAAUUUAUUUCUUUUUGUUUGUUUGUUUGGGGAAGUGCAUAUUGUUUGUUUGUUUGGGGAAGUGCAUAUUGUUUGUUGAAGCACGUGUCCAGUGGUGACUGUGGGAUUUACAAUAGGUCUUUAUAUCUGCUGUAAUUGUUCUAAUAAAAAGGGUUUGGAUUCUGGGAAAGUUCGAUGUAUUUAUUUGGCUUUGUGAUAUCUAAUACUUUAUGUUGAUUUGAGGUGCGUUUCAAAAUGUCGUUCAUUGUGGGAUUUUACCAGGCAUUCCUCUUUUAUGUUGCAGUUUUCUGUAAUGGCAUGAGUUUUCCUGCCCAGUUUGUAGUCCUACAUUAUUUUUCAUUAGACUGUUGCCAUCUAGUGGUGAAAGGAGGUAUAAAAGUGUACAUUGAGGCCUGCAUCUAAUACUGUUGGUUUUUCCACAAUACCUCUCGAUCUCCUGGCAGCCGCCUCAACAGCACUGGAAAUGGUCAACACUCCAUCCCAUUUGACAAAAAGCCUGUGCAUUACUGUUCCAUAGCAUGCAAGUCUAGUAGAAGGUUAGGAGGGUUCAGUAGGGAACUAGCUGAGCUCUCUGCUACUGAGUUCAAGCCCUGGGUGGUAAGCUUCCUGACUGCAGGGUACUGAGUUCAAGCCGUGGGUGGUAAGCUUCCUGCCCACUGACUACAGGGUACUGAGUUGAAGCCCUGGGUGGUAAGCUUCCUGCCCACUAACUACAGGGUACUGAGUUGAAGCCCUGGGUGUGGCAGGUUGUGUGUCUGAGUCGCAGCCUCUCUGGGUCAAUCUGAGAGGUUAUGGAGAUUAUCUCCUGGACAUUUAGAGACAACUUUUAUCAGAGGUUUUCCUCCACAACCUCUUCUGGUUACUCCUCUGGAGCCCCAGGAUUGAACCCCAAAGCCACAUUACCACCACAAGUGGAAAAAGUACUAAAUUGGCAUACUUGACUAAAGAUACCUUAGUAGAAAAUGACUCGCGAAAGUCAUCCAAUAAAAUACAAGUUUUUGGUUUUAAAUAUCAAAAGUAAUUAUUUCAAGUUACUUUUUAAAAAUGUACGAAUAGCCAAGGUGCAUUCCCAACACUCAGACAUCAUUUACAAAUGAACCAUGUGUGUUUAGUGAGUCCUCCAGAUCAGAGGCAGUAGGGAUGACCAGGGAUGUUCUCUGUUCAGUGAGUCCGCCAGAUCAGAGGCAGUAGGGAUGACCAGGGAUGUUCUCUGUUUAGUGAGUCCUCCAGAUCAGAGGCAGUAGGGAUGAACAGGGAUGUUCUCUGUUUAGUGAGUCCACCAGAUCAGAGGCAGUAGGGAUGACCAGGGAUGUUCUCUGUUUAGUGAGUCCUCCAGAUCAGAGGCAGUAGGGAUGAACAGGGAUGUUCUCUGUUUAGUGAGUCCUCCAGAUCAGAGGCAGUAGAGAUGACCAGGGAUGUUCUCUGUUUAGUGAGUCCUCCAGAUCAGAGGCAGUAGGGAUGACCAGGGAUGUUCUCUGUUUAGUGAGUCCUCCAGAUCAGAGGCAGUAGGGAUGACCAGGGAUGUUCUCUGUUUAGUGAGUCCUCCAGAUCAGAAGCAGUAGGGAUGAACAGGGAUGUUCUCUGGAUAAGUGUGUGAAUUGGACCAUUUGUCUGUCCUGCUAAGCAUUCAAAAUGUAACGAGGACUUUUGGGUGUCAGGUAAAAUGUAUGGAGUAAAAAGUACAGUAUUUCCUUUAGGAAUGUCUUGAAGUAAAACAGUUGUCAAAAACAUAAAUAGUGAAGUACAGAUACACCAAUAACUAGUAAAGUGUUGUUUACUUAAGCGCUUUACACCACUGCACAUUAUACACAUUACCAAGUCAUCUUGAGAAACAAUUUCAAAAUACAAUAUCAGAAUGUAAAUUGCCAGAUUUACACUUAUUCGUUCAAUUGGAUUGAAUUAUUCAGGUCACACUCAAGUCAUUACUUAUGAUAUCCGGACGGAUAUCAAUGUCUUCGUUGAUAUCCGUCCGGAUAUCAUAAGUAAUGACUUGAGUGUGACCUGAAUAAUUCUCCA